This 800-nucleotide ribosomal RNA is filed under the name Nectria dematiosa. RNAcentral's name for it is "eukaryotic LSU rRNA". It matches the Rfam family "Eukaryotic large subunit ribosomal RNA", at positions 83 to 914 of the family's 3401-position model. Lineage: Eukaryota; Fungi; Ascomycota; Sordariomycetes; Hypocreales; Nectriaceae. The record is from RNAcentral.
GUAACGGCGAGUGAAGCGGCAACAGCUCAAAUUUGAAAUCUGGCCCUUGUGGUCCGAGUUGUAAUUUGUAGAGGAUGCUUUUGGUGAGGUACCUUCCGAGUUCCCUGGAACGGGACGCCAUAGAGGGUGAGAGCCCCGUCUGGUUGGAUACCGAGCCUCUGUAAAGCUCCUUCGACGAGUCGAGUAGUUUGGGAAUGCUGCUCUAAAUGGGAGGUAUAUGUCUUCUAAAGCUAAAUAUUGGCCAGAGACCGAUAGCGCACAAGUAGAGUGAUCGAAAGAUGAAAAGCACUUUGAAAAGAGGGUUAAAUAGUACGUGAAAUUGUUGAAAGGGAAGCGCUUGUGACCAGACUUGGGCUUGGUUAAUCAUCCAGGGUUCUCCCUGGUGCACUUGGCCAGCCCAGGCCAGCAUCAGUUUGUCGCGGGGGAUAAAGGCGUCGGGAAUGUGGCUCCCCCGGGAGUGUUAUAGCCCUUCGUGUAAUACCCUGCUUUAGACUGAGGUUCGCGCAUCUGCAAGGAUGCUGGCGUAAUGGUCAUCAGCGACCCGUCUUGAAACACGGACCAAGGAGUCGUCUUCGUAUGCGAGUGUUCGGGUGUCAAACCCCUACGCGUAAUGAAAGUGAACGCAGGUGAGAGCUUCGGCGCAUCAUCGACCGAUCCUGAUGUUCUCGGAUGGAUUUGAGUAAGAGCAUACGGGGCCGGACCCGAAAGAAGGUGAACUAUGCCUGUGUAGGGUGAAGCCAGAGGAAACUCUGGUGGAGGCUCGCAGCGGUUCUGACGUGCAAAUCGAUCGUCAAACAUGG